Molecule: ribosomal RNA, 361 nt
Filed under: uncultured bacterium
Lineage: Bacteria
Description: partial 16S ribosomal RNA
Rfam family: Bacterial small subunit ribosomal RNA
Source: RNAcentral
UGGGGAAUCUUAGACAAUGGGGGAAACCCUGAUCUAGCCAUGCCGCGUGAGCGAUGAAGGCCUUAGGGUUGUAAAGCUCUUUCAGCUGGGAAGAUAAUGACGGUACCAGCAGAAGAAGCCCCGGCUAACUCCGUGCCAGCAGCCGCGGUAAUACGGAGGGGGCUAGCGUUGUUCGGAAUUACUGGGCGUAAAGCGCACGUAGGCGGAUUAGUCAGUCAGAGGUGAAAUCCCAGGGCUCAACCCUGGAACUGCCUUUGAUACUGCUAGUCUUGAGGUCGAGAGAGGUGAGUGGAAAUUUCCCGAGUGUAGAGGUGAAAUUCGUAGAUAUUCGGAGGAACACCAGUGGCGAAGGCGGCCCUGC